RNAcentral lists this ribosomal RNA (482 nucleotides) under uncultured bacterium. RNAcentral's name for it is "bacterial SSU rRNA". It matches the Rfam family "Bacterial small subunit ribosomal RNA", at positions 29 to 506 of the family's 1533-position model. The record is from RNAcentral.
AUGAACGCUAGCGGCAGGCUUAACACAUGCAAGUCGAGGGGCAUCGCGGGUAGUGAUACUUGGCGGCGACCGGCGGAAGGGUGCGUAACGCGUGAGCAACAUGCCCGUAUCAGGGGGAUAAACCAGGGAAACUUGGUCUAAUACCCCAUAGCAAUUGGAGGAGGCAUCUUUUUCAAUUUAAAGCUUUGGUGGAUACGGAUUGGCUCGCGUGACAUUAGCUAGAUGGUAAGGUAACGGCUUACCAUGGCUACGAUGUCUAGGGGUUCUGAGAGGAAGAUCCCCCACACUGGAACUGAGACACGGUCCAGACUCCUACGGGAGGCAGCAGCGAGGAAUAUUGGACAAUGGAUGGAAAUCUGAUCCAGCCAUGCCGCGUGCAGGAAGACGGCCCUAUGGGUUGUAAACUGCUUUUGUAUGGGAGCAAUAAGGUCUAUGCGUAGACUGAUGAGAGUACCAUACGAAUAAGCAUCGGCUAACUCCGU